Molecule: ribosomal RNA, 253 nt
Filed under: uncultured bacterium
Lineage: Bacteria
Description: partial 16S ribosomal RNA
Rfam family: Bacterial small subunit ribosomal RNA
Source: RNAcentral
UACGUACCGUCCAAACGUUAUUCGGAAUUACUGGGCUUAAAGGGUGCGUAGGCGGCGCGGUAAGUCGGGUGUGAAAUCUCGGGGCUUAACUCCGAAACUGCAUUCGAUACUGCCGUGCUUGAGGACUGGAGAGGAGACUGGAAUUUACGGUGUAGCGGUGAAAUGCGUAGAUAUCGUAAGGAAGACCAGUGGCGAAGGCGGGUCUCUGGACAGUUCCUGACGCUGAGGCACGAAGGCCAGGGGAGCAAACGGG